This is a non-coding RNA of Triticum urartu, 1319 nucleotides long. The record is from RefSeq and is a predicted model, not a curated record. Lineage: Eukaryota; Viridiplantae; Streptophyta; Magnoliopsida; Poales; Poaceae.
UGCUUAAUCUUACAAAAGGUAAGGAAACUACAAUUUCAGAGAUGGCAAUCCCAAGAUAUAAGCUACAAUUUCAGAGAUGCGAGUCAAGGAUACUCAAUAAAUUUCAGAGAUGCUGCAGAUAUAUACUUUUAUAUUAAGAUGAAAACAAGCAUCUAGCAGUACUUUAGACAUUUGUAUAGCUGAUUUGGUGUACGAGUAAGGGCGCCCAUCUGCCCCGCCGUCGCCACUGAGGAGAGGCAGGGACGAGGGCCGUCCGCCGCGGGAACCAAGGCCGAACGCCGCCGUGGGUCGGGGACGAGCGCCGUCCGCCGCGGGAGCCGGGACGAGCGCCGCCGCGAGCUGGGGAGCUAGCUGGACGAGCGCCGCCGCGCCGCAGCGACCUCUUCUCAGAAUCGUGCGUUGUGCGAUGGGAUCGAUUGGCAACAGGAUACCCGAAGUUGGUAUGUGGUUCAGAAAUUCGGAUGAGGCUUGGGAGUUCUGCGUGCAAUAUGGAGGUCACAUAGGCUUUGAUGUGAGGAAAAGAAAUACCAUCAAAAGCAGAACUGAUGGAACAAUCACUUCAUGUAGGUUUGUUUGUUCCAAUGAAGGCAUUCGAAGGAAAAGUCAAAUAGAUCACGAGCCAAAGCGCAUUAGAGCUGAAACAAGAACCAAUUGUAAAGUUCGGAUGAUUGUUUCAUUUGAUCGAGUGGCCAAAUUUUUUGAAGUCACCGAAGUUGAUUUGGAACACAAUCACCUCCUUCAAUUGCCACAAACCUGUCACUUGUUGGCAUCACAAAGGAAGAUUUCUGAUGUGCAAGCUUUAGAGAUAGAAACAACCGAUGAUUCUGGAAUUAUGCCAAAAGCUUCACAUGAUUCCUUUGCCUGCUCGUGUUGCCUUCAUGUCCUCUUGUUCCAUCUUCUGGAACUUCUAUUUUGUCGACCACAAUGAACAAAUGAACUUCUAAUUCUCAACUUCAGGCCAGUUCUUGCUGCAACUCAAAAUCUCCGAUGAUUACUCUAAGCGCGGGUGCAUUCUAACAAAAGACCGGCUCGUCUUAUUGUUCAGAUCCAUUCAACUGCAGCAGAGGAGGAUCUGGAGGGGCUUCUUUCCUAUUAUACGUAGUAUGGCCGUGGUGCCUUGGGCAAUUCUGGUGGUGAUCUCUUGAGUCGACAGACAUUAUCGCAGAUGAUCCAUAAGUAUGUGGAUACGGUCGAUGGAGAAAUUACAGUUUUGUCUAAACAUCUAUGAGCAUGUUGCUCUAAUUUGACAAUGAAAGUGUUGUAAUCUGUAUCAUUUAUUCAGUGACCUUAAACUUUUAUAUGACAAAGACGUUAGUGCA